This 440-nucleotide ribosomal RNA is filed under the name uncultured bacterium. RNAcentral describes it as "partial 16S ribosomal RNA". It matches the Rfam family "Bacterial small subunit ribosomal RNA", at positions 338 to 795 of the family's 1533-position model. The record is from RNAcentral.
CCUACGGGCGGCAGCAGUGGGGAAUAUUGCACAAUGGGCGGAAGCCUGAUGCAGCAACGCCGCGUGAGUGAUGAAGGCCUUCGGGAUGUAAAGCUCUAUCAGCAAGGAAGAAAAUGACGGUACCUGAGUAGGAAGCCCCGGCUAACUACGUGCCAGCAGCCGCGGUAAUACGUAGGGGGCAAGCGUUAUCCGGAAUUACUGGGCGGAAAGGGAGCGUAGACGGUUUUUUAAGUCAGAAGUGAAAGGCCAAGGCUCAACCAUGGGAAUGCCUUUGAAACUGGGGAACUGGAGUGCAGGAGAGGUGAGUGGAAUUCCUAGUGUAGCGGUGAAAUGCGUAGAUAUUAGGAGGAACACCAGUGGCGAAGGCGGCUCACUGGACUGUAACUGACGCUGAGGCUCGAAGGCGUGGGGAGCAAACAGGAUUAGAUACCCUGGUAGUC